UGGGGAAUAUUGCACAAUGGGGGAAACCCUGAUGCAGCGACGCCGCGUGAAGGAUGAAGUAUUUCGGUAUGUAAACUUCUAUCAGCAGGGAAGAAGAUGACGGUACCUGACUAAGAAGCCCCGGCUAACUACGUGCCAGCAGCCGCGGUAAUACGUAGGGGGCAAGCGUUAUCCGGAUUUACUGGGUGUAAAGGGAGCGUAGACGGCGAUGCAAGCCAGAUGUGAAAGCCCGGGGCUCAACCCCGGGACUGCAUUUGGAACUGCGUGGCUGGAGUGUCGGAGAGGCAGGCGGAAUUCCUAGUGUAGCGGUGAAAUGCGUAGAUAUUAGGAGGAACACCAGUGGCGAAGGCGGCCUGCUGGACGAUGACUGACGUUGAGGCUCGAAAGCGUGGGGAGCAAACAGG
RNAcentral lists this ribosomal RNA (404 nucleotides) under uncultured bacterium. Its description in RNAcentral is "bacterial SSU rRNA". It matches the Rfam family "Bacterial small subunit ribosomal RNA", at positions 355 to 776 of the family's 1533-position model. The record is from RNAcentral.